RNAcentral lists this transfer RNA (50 nucleotides) under Cleisostoma birmanicum. Its description in RNAcentral is "partial tRNA-Leu". The record is from RNAcentral. Lineage: Eukaryota; Viridiplantae; Streptophyta; Magnoliopsida; Asparagales; Orchidaceae.
AUUUUACAUGUCAAUACCGACAACAAUGAAAUUUAUAGUAAGAGGAAAAU